GUAUAUAUUGUAAUCUACAUGAAUAAAGUACUCAAUCAAUCAAUCAAUCUCUCUCUAGUAAAGACUAGUCAACAAUAUCGAUGUGAACUCACUUGACAAAAUUAGUGUUGAUGGUGUCGAAAUAGCUUACUGUGAUUUAGUUAAAAACCUUGGAAUUAAUGAACGAAAAUCUUGACUGGUCUGAUCAAAUUAAUAAGACUUGUAAAUUUGUAUUCUCUGCCAUGCAUUCAUUGAAGUACAUUCAUUAAUGCAUUCAUUAAAAUACAAUUAAUGUAUUUAUUAAAUAUGAAACUUUCUGAACAGAUUAUUGCAAAUUAUUUUAUAUUUAUUUUCACACUUUUUAUAUUGUAUAAAUGCAAUGAUAAAUAAAUAACUAUUUGAUUGAUUGAAUAAUGAACAAAGUUUGAAAUUAUAUUUAUUUUACGCAGUGUGGCAAGUUCCGACAUUGAUUUGGAAACAGUGAGACCAAUAAGAAAAACAAAGGUUGAAAAUUGGUAAGGUUCUGAAUAGUAUAUAACUAUACCUUAUCAUGGAAUAUCAUCGAAUAUAUAUUUGAACUUACGAAAACUCGUAUGUAGAAAGAUUUAAUACAUUUUCCCAUGAGUUACAUUUCCAUGUACUACAUGGUAUUUUCAUGUAUUAUUACAUGGUAUUUCCAUCAAUGAAUCUAUUGGUGGAAAUAUAUGCAAUGGAAAAAGGUAUUUAUAGCCUGAUAUAAUAACAGAUAAUUAUAAUACUAGUGAACUAUUGUAUUACACCACUGUAUGUGAUAACAUGAUUUCUUAUUGAAGUGAAUUGAAAUGCUUAUUGAAAUCAAUAGAACAAUUCAUUUCCAAAUUAUACAUUAUCUAAGGUUUCUAUUAUCAGUGAAAGGUAAUACAUCUACUGUAAUGAAAAGAGAAUUUCAGAAGCAAAAUAGAUAAUUUCUGUUCUAUAUUAAAAACUUUACAAAUAUUGAUUCCACAUAAUUAUUAUAACAUCAACCUAUAAUAAAGAUUAUCAUGAGAAAUAAUAAUGCAUAUUCAUAUUAUCAAAAUUCAUUACAAUUUCAAGUUCUAUUUUCAAUAAAAUUUACAAAGGAAAUGCAGAAAAUGUUUUUUCUUUUGUAAUGGCAGGCCAUUGUCCACUGUCCACUCCCUGUUCAACAACCACUCCUUCUCUGUCUAACAUCACUCACUCUCUCACAUACUUCCCCCCUUCUUUUCACUACACGUUGUCGAAAUCAAAGCGCGUUUUGCCGCGUUUUUGGUUUUUGUUCUACUCAUCUACUCUAGUCUCUGUAAGUGUUUCAGUCGAAAAGGAUGCAUCAUGCACCACAUUUCCUGUACAUGGAAAGUUCCAGUUCUCUUUACAGUGCUUCAGUCAUUUAUUAGUUUUAAAAUAACGUGAAUAUUUGAUCUUCUAUCAAAAAAUGGAAAUGUUUGCGAUUGGCAUUGUAUGGAGAAUGAUUAUAAUGAUGCUACAGAGUAAUAUCGAAAAAAGAGAUGUGCAAAAAAGUGGAAGCAUACAUUAAUUAUUCAUAAUGCAUAUCUCAGCAACAACAAAAAAAUUAAUUUCUAGAAGAAAACUCAGGACACAUUGGAUCAAAUGUGAAUAAAACUUUCAAAGGUGUCUGCCAAAGAAAUUUCUAAGAGAUGGUCAAUGAGUCUGUCAUUGGAGAAGAAGUCAACAAUUGGCUCCUGCAACCGAAAUUUAAAAGAGCGUGCCG
RNAcentral lists this long non-coding RNA (1708 nucleotides) under Nilaparvata lugens (brown planthopper). RNAcentral's name for it is "uncharacterized LOC120354996". Lineage: Eukaryota; Metazoa; Arthropoda; Insecta; Hemiptera; Delphacidae. The record is from RNAcentral.